UACGAGUGGUGCAAGCGUUAUUCGGAAUUAUUGGGCGUAAAGGGCGCGUAGGUGGUAUGUUAAGUCAACUGUUAAAUUCUCCGGCCUAACUGGAGGCAAGCGGUAGAUACUGGCGUACUUGAGGAUGGAAGAGAGAAGUGGAAUUCUUGGAGUAGCGGUAAAAUGCGUAGAUAUCAAGAGGAACACCAAUGGCGAAGGCAGCUUCUUGGUCCACUCCUGACACUGAGGCGCGAAAGCGUGGGGAGCAAACAGG
This 253-nucleotide ribosomal RNA is filed under the name uncultured bacterium. Its description in RNAcentral is "partial 16S ribosomal RNA". It matches the Rfam family "Bacterial small subunit ribosomal RNA", at positions 524 to 776 of the family's 1533-position model. The record is from RNAcentral.